UAAUGGGUCAGCGACUUAUAUUCUGUAGCAAGGUUAACCGAAUAGGGGAGCCGAAGGGAAACCGAGUCUUAACUGGGCGUUAAGUUGCAGGGUAUAGACCCGAAACCCGGUGAUCUAGCCAUGGGCAGGUUGAAGGUUGGGUAACACUAACUGGAGGACCGAACCGACUAAUGUUGAAAAAUUAGCGGAUGACUUGUGGCUGGGGGUGAAAGGCCAAUCAAACCGGGAGAUAGCUGGUUCUCCCCGAAAGCUAUUUAGGUAGCGCCUCGUGAAUUCAUCUCCGGGGGUAGAGCACUGUUUCGGCAAGGGGGUCAUCCCGACUUACCAACCCGAUGCAAACUGCGAAUACCGGAGAAUGUUAUCACGGGAGACACACGGCGGGUGCUAACGUCCGUCGUGAAGAGGGAAACAACCCAGACCGCCAGCUAAGGUCCCAAAGUCAUGGUUAAGUGGGAAACGAUGUGGGAAGGCCCAGACAGCCAGGAUGUUGGCUUAGAAGCAGCCAUCAUUUAAAGAAAGCGUAAUAGCUCACUGGUCGAGUCGGCCUGCGCGGAAGAUGUAACGGGGCUAAACCAUGCACCGAAGCUGCGGCAGCGACACUAUGUGUUGUUGGGUAGGGGAGCGUUCUGUAAGCCUGUGAAGGUGUACUGUGAGGUAUGCUGGAGGUAUCAGAAGUGCGAAUGCUGACAUAAGUAACGAUAAAGCGGGUGAAAAGCCCGCUCGCCGGAAGACCAAGGGUUCCUGUCCAACGUUAAUCGGGGCAGGGUGAGUCGACCCCUAAGGCGAGGCCGAAAGGCGUAGUCGAUGGGAAACAGGUUAAUAUUCCUGUACUUGGUGUUACUGCGAAGGGGGGACGGAGAAGGCUAUGUUGGCCGGGCGACGGUUGUCCCGGUUUAAGCGUGUAGGCUGGUUUUCCAGGCAAAUCCGGAAAACUAAGGCUGAGGCGUGAUGACGAGGCACUACGGUGCUGAAGCAACAAAUGCCCUGCUUCCAGGAAAAGCCUCUAAGCAUCAGGUAACAUUAAAUCGUACCCCAAACCGACACAGGUGGUCAGGUAGAGAAUACCAAGGCGCUUGAGAGAACUCGGGUGAAGGAACUAGGCAAAAUGGUGCCGUAACUUCGGGAGAAGGCACGCUGAUAUGUAGGUGAAGUCCCUCGCGGAUGGAGCUGAAAUCAGUCGAAGAUACCAGCUGGCUGCAACUGUUUAUUAAAAACACAGCACUGUGCAAACACGAAAGUGGACGUAUACGGUGUGACGCCUGCCCGGUGCCGGAAGGUUAAUUGAUGGGGUUAGCGGUAACGCGAAGCUCUUGAUCGAAGCCCCGGUAAACGGCGGCCGUAACUAUAACGGUCCUAAGGUAGCGAAAUUCCUUGUCGGGUAAGUUCCGACCUGCACGAAUGGCGUAAUGAUGGCCAGGCUGUCUCCACCCGAGACUCAGUGAAAUUGAACUCGCUGUGAAGAUGCAGUGUACCCGCGGCAAGACGGAAAGACCCCGUGAACCUUUACUAUAGCUUGACACUGAACAUUGAGCCUUGAUGUGUAGGAUAGGUGGGAGGCUUUGAAGUGUGGACGCCAGUCUGCAUGGAGCCGGCCUUGAAAUACCACCCUUUAAUGUUUGAUGUUCUAACGUUGGCCCCUGAUCGGGGUUGCGGACAGUGUCUGGUGGGUAGUUUGACUGGGGCGGUCUCCUCCUAAAGAGUAACGGAGGAGCACGAAGGUUGGCUAAUCCUGGUCGGACAUCAGGAGGUUAGUGCAAUGGCAUAAGCCAGCUUGACUGCGAGCGUGACGGCGCGAGCAGGUGCGAAAGCAGGUCAUAGUGAUCCGGUGGUUCUGAAUGGAAGGGCCAUCGCUCAACGGAUAAAAGGUACUCCGGGGAUAACAGGCUGAUACCGCCCAAGAGUUCAUAUCGACGGCGGUGUUUGGCACCUCGAUGUCGGCUCAUCACAUCCUGGGGCUGAAGUAGGUCCCAAGGGUAUGGCUGUUCGCCAUUUAAAGUGGUACGCGAGCUGGGUUUAGAACGUCGUGAGACAGUUCGGUCCCUAUCUGCCGUGGGCGCUGGAGAACUGAGGGGGGCUGCUCCUAGUACGAGAGGACCGGAGUGGACGCAUCACUGGUGUUCGGGUUGUCAUGCCAAUGGCACUGCCCGGUAGCUAAAUGCGGAAGAGAUAAGUGCUGAAAGCAUCUAAGCACGAAACUUGCCCCGAGAUG
This 2209-nucleotide ribosomal RNA is filed under the name Escherichia coli. RNAcentral describes it as "partial 23S ribosomal RNA". It matches the Rfam family "Bacterial large subunit ribosomal RNA", at positions 613 to 2806 of the family's 2925-position model. The record is from RNAcentral. Lineage: Bacteria; Pseudomonadati; Pseudomonadota; Gammaproteobacteria; Enterobacterales; Enterobacteriaceae.